GUGAGGAGAAAGGAGUAGGAAGGCACAGAGGACCUAACUGGCAAAAACAAAUAAGUGAGGUAGAUAAAAAGAAUGAAUCUAAUGGCUUCACCUGACUUAGGCACAGUUUUAAGGGGCCUGACUUAGGCCUGGGGACUUAUGUUUUUAGCUGGGCUCUGUUGGCCUUUUUGAUGUGGGAGUGAUUAAGCAGGAAUGCCGUCUACUUUCAGAGCAGUUGGAGUCAUGAAGUCUUUUCUAAGCAGGAGUGAGUCUUUCUUUUUGGAACUUUUAAACAAACACUAGGUCUCCUGGCUGGAACGAAUGGUAGGACUUUGUCAGGUCAGGAAUUGGAUUGGGAUGGGCUCCUCAAACAAGUGGCAGGAUGAUCUCUUGUACCUGUUGGAGAGACUAUAGGUACUGUAAUAAAUUAAUUUGUGAUAUUUCUGCUAAUUUGGCAUCUCUUAGCUUAGACAAGAUAGGCAGCGCCUUCUUAUACAUGAUUUCAAAGGGUGAGAACUUAGCCUGAUAAGGGGUGCACUUUACUUUAAGUAGGGCUAAAGGAAGGAGACUUACUUAAUUUACACUGGUUUUUAAGAUCAAUAUUGUAAGAGUGUUUUUAAUGUGUGGUUCAUGCGUUCUACUUGCCUGGAGCUCUGAGGUUGAUAGGCACAAUGGAGUUUCUAUUGAAUGUUUAACGCCUUACUGACUGACUGAGCUAUAGGUGAGGUGAAGGCUGCUCUAUUAUCAGACUUUAUGGCAGCAGGCAGCCUAUAUUGAGGGAUGAUUUCAUUGAGUAAAAACUUAACUACUGUGUUGGUGGUUUCGUUUUCGGUAGCAAAUGCCUUAGUCGAUCUGGAGAAGGUGUCUACUAGUACUAGAAGGUAUUUGUCCUUAACCUGGUAUGGUUUGACUUCUGUAAAGUCAAUUUCUUACUUUUUUCUUGACGAGUUUUUUCAGAGACAGUGGCCUGGGCUGGGUUUAGGACUUUGUUUGGCUUUUACGUGGGCGCAGGUUGUGCACUUGAGAGCUGCUUAAUCUGUUAGGCUUUGAAGACGGGGGAUCUUAAAAUGGCUCCGGAGGAGCUGAGGUAGCUUUGCUCUUUUUAAGUGGGUGGUAGACUGUAGGUGGCUGAUUAAAGUUUCUUUAAGAGUUCAGGGUGUGAAGAUUCUAGAGUCAGGAAGAAUCUACUAACUUUCCUGAUUUGUAUUGGCUCUGAGAUCUGAAGCCAGUUUUUUUGUUGUUGUUGAGUAUACGGGAUUGUCAGGCAGAUCUGGCUGUGGAAAGGAGACUGUGGGCAGCAAGUUUAGAGGCGUGACUGAAAGUCUUGCUGCGACCUGAGCUGCUGAAUCAGCUUUCUGGUUACUAUGGGCUACGGCCGUGUUUUCUUUUUGAUGUCCUUUGCAGUGGAUCACAGCUAGCUGCUGAGACAGACAAGGGGAGGGGGUCCUGUGAUGGUAUCAGUCAGAUGCCUGUCUGGCCACUCCCGCUGAGGGGACUUGGGCUCCUCUUAGCAUUGGCAGGCCGGUAUAAACUUCCACCUCGGAUCGAGCUGUGCCUGAUGCUGCCUUAAGCCUUAUGAGGUCGCCACGGAACCGCAGCAUCCUAGAAACUCCUGGAGGGCAGAGUCAUGCCUGCCAUCUUCAUCAUUGCAUUACCAGCACCCAGCACAGUGCCUGGCACAAAAGAAUUGCUCAAUAAAUGAAUCAGGAUGAAUGGACAAAUACACGGAUAGGCAGUUUGAACUACAGAUGAGCUUAAAUACUUUGUGCUUUUCUUAGUCAAACAUGUGCAAUUAAGCAUAAUGAUAUGACCACACCUGUGUGUCAUAUACCACACCUGUGUCUUGCCUGAUGUUCUUUGCAGUCACUAAAUGAAGUCAAUUGUGCCUGUUUUCACAGUUCUGUUUUCAACCUAAUGAUCUGUUUCUUUUAACUUCUGACUGUUGGCUUUGUUUGGGUUUCUUAGCCUGACAAAGUGACAGAUAUUGGUAUGUGCUCUUUUGUUUACAUGUCACGAACUUUAAAAAUGCCUUUGCUUUUGGUAAGAAACCCUAGUUAAGACAGUCUAGUGGUCAGGAUGAUUUGGGUUCUGGUGCAGUAACAACAAUCCCCAAAUCUCAGUGGCACCAUGCAGUGACGUAUUUGUUUGUUUGUUUUUGAGAAAGGGUCUCACUCUGUCACCCAGGCUAGAGUGCAGUGGCACAAUCUCAGCUCACUGCCACCUCUGCCUCCCAGACUCAAGCGAUUCUCCUGCUUCCUGAGUAGCUGGGAUUACAGGCCCAUGUCACUACUGUCUGCCUAAUUUUUGUACUUUAGUAGAGACAGGAUUUCACCAUGUUAGCCAGGCUGGUCUUGAACUCCUGACCUCAAAUGAUCCACCUGCCUUGGCCUCCCAAAGUGCUGGGAUGACAGGCAUGAGCCACCAUGCCUGGCCACAGUGAGGCUUGUUCUUGGUCACGUUGAAUGUCUGGGCUGUGUUAGGGCAUUGUGGGGUGGUCUGUUCAUUGUGUUCACUCAGGGAUCCAGGCUGACAAAAGCCCCAUCUCUGCAUGUGUCCUUGAUCACCACUUCAGGGGAAAGGGAAUGUGGUGGAUCACAGAGCCUCUAAACACUUCCACCUGGAGGUGACUCAAGUUGCCCCUGCUCAUGGUUCAUUGGAAAAAACGGAUCACAGAGUCAUGGACAACUUCUCUGUGCCUGGAAAGGGAACCAAAAUAUGAAUAGCUACAUUGAUUUUCCCUAGCUAUUACACAGAAGGCCUCAUUUAAGCGCAGUUACUUAUUUGUGUUUUGAAGCUAACUGUAGUCCAUCAACCUUCAGAGAAGAUAUGUGCACUUCCAAGCUAUUAUUAUUAUUUUUUUUUUUGAGAUAGAGUCUCACUCUGUUGCUCAGGCUGGAGUGCAGUGGCAUGAUCAUGGAUCACUGCAACUUCUGCCUCCUGGGUUCAAGUGAUUUUCGUGCCCCAGUCUCCCAAAGUACUGGGAUUACAGACACCCACCACCGCGACUGGCUAAGUUUUGUAGUUUUAGUAGAGAUGGGGUUUCACCAUGUUGGCCUGGCUGAUCUGGAACUCCUGACCUCAGGUGAUCCACCUGCCUUGGCCUCCCAAAGUGCUGAGAUGACAGGCGUGAGCUGCCGCACCCAGCCUUGAGUAUGAUUUUUGAUUCGGAAGGCCAGAGUUAGGGUUUUAGUCUGAGGACAGUAUGAUGUGAAGGUGAAAAGCAGAGCUUGGCUGUGAGUUUGCUGGGAUUCCUGUACUGCUUCUACAGCUCUUUGGCUGUGUGACCGUCACCUUUGGCAAGUUCCUUUACCUUUCUAUGUGUUGGUUUCCUCAUCAAUAAAAUGGAAAAAAUAAUCAUAAUCAUAAUAUCUAUUGGUGUUGGGAUAGCCCAGUUGUUGACACAUAAGGACUCAAAAAUAGAUUUAAUUUUUGAGAUGGAGUCUUGCUCUGUUGCUAGGCUGGAGUGCAGUGGUGAAAUCUCGGCUCACUGCAACCUCUGCCUCCUGGGUUCAAGCGAUUCUCCUGCCUCAGCCUCCUUAGUAGCUGGGAUUACAGACACCCACCACCACUCCCAGCUAAUUUUUGUAUUUGUAGUAGAGAUCGGGUUUCGCCAUGUUGGCCAGGAUGCUCUCGAUCUCUUGACCUCAUGAUCUGCCCACCUCAGCCUCCCAAAGUGUUGGGAUUACAGGCGUGAGCCACCGUGCCCGGCUCAAAAAUACUGUUAUUAAUUUUGGGGGGUAGUUACUCUAUUUUGUGAAAAUCAGAGUUCAGUACCUUGUAACACUGGGUUGGGAUCUAUCCUUGAAGGAACAGGCUUCUAAAGAGAAAGGCAUGGAGAGAGGGGCAAAAUUUUAGUGGAUAUUGUAAUGACUUUAGGUAUAUGGACCUGGGGCUGAGUUCUAGCUGGGGCCACCAGGUAGCAAGGUGGAUUUUGCUAAAUUCUAUCACUUUCCUGGGCCUCAGACUCACUUGUUACAAAUGGGGUUAAAGCAUCCCUCUUUCAGGGCUAAGAUAAAGAUGAUUAAGUAAGAGGGAAUGAAAGCAACUUCCAUCAAUGGUCAAAAGUAUUCGUUUAACUACUUCUAUUUAUUUAUUUAUUUUUUUUUUGAGAUAGAUGGAGUCUCUCUCUGUUGCCCAGGUUGGAGUGCAGUGCCAUGGUCCCAGGUCACUGCAACCUCCACCUCCUGGGUUCAAGUGAUUCUCCUGCUUCAGUCUCCUGAGUAGCUGGGACUACAGGUGCGUGCCACCACGCCUGGCUAAUUUUUGUAUUUUUAGUAGAGACAGGGUUUCAUCAUGUUGGCCAGGAUGGUGUUGAUCUCUUGACCUCGUGAUCCACCCUCCUUAGCCUCCCAAAGUGUUGGGAUUACAGGCAUGAGCCACCACGCCCGGCCCACUUAACUUGUAUAUUACUUUCCUGUUGGUGGAUUUACCAGUGCAAACUGAGCAGCUUAAAACAUCACCCAGUUAUUAUCUUUUUUCCUGGACAGGGUUUAACUGGGUCUUCUAUUCAGGGUCACAAUACUGCAACCAGAGUGUCAGCUGGAGCUGGGGUCUCCUCAGAUGCUCAGGGUCCUCUUCUAAGCUUAUUCAGUUUGUGGAUUGAAUUCAAUUUCUUGCAACUGUUGAACGAAGGCCCUUAGCUCCUAGAGCUGCCACCUCCAAAGACAGCUCACAACAUGGCCAUUUGUGUCUCCUUGGAGGCUAAGGGUUGAAUCUGUGAAAGUUCACCUUUAAAAGGCUCACCUGAUUAGGUCUGGCCCACCUAAGGUCAUCCUGCUUUGGAUGAACUCAAAGUCAGCUGAGCAAAUGUGCUUAACAAAGCAAGUGUGACCAUAAUCACAUUUGCAAAAUUCCUUCCCCUUGUCCAAAUCACAAGCUCUGCACACACUCAAGAAGAAGAGGUGAUACAGGGAGCAGAUAUAAGAGAGUGGGUCUCUUGGGGGCUGUCCUAGAAUUCUGCCCAUAACAACUUCCUUUCUCACAACUUCCUUUCUCGAGGAACAG
Molecule: long non-coding RNA, 4983 nt
Filed under: Homo sapiens (human)
Lineage: Eukaryota; Metazoa; Chordata; Mammalia; Primates; Hominidae
Description: HSALNT0068958
Source: RNAcentral